CCCCCCUCCAAAAAAAAAAAAAAACCCCAACGCAAACACAGCCGAGCCAGAGCUGAUGCAACCCCGUCCGAAAUCCCUUCCGCCUGUGAAUCUAAAAGCGUCCCAAUAAAAUCUGAGGAUGGCUGAACAAAAGACCGAUUUCUCCGCACAGCCGUGAAAGAUCCUUCCUCGUUGUUUUCC
Salarias fasciatus (jewelled blenny) is the source of this 180-nucleotide long non-coding RNA. RefSeq lists it as uncharacterized. The record is from RefSeq and is a predicted model, not a curated record. The transcript has 3 exons. Lineage: Eukaryota; Metazoa; Chordata; Actinopteri; Blenniiformes; Blenniidae.